This 490-nucleotide ribosomal RNA is filed under the name uncultured bacterium. RNAcentral's name for it is "partial 16S ribosomal RNA". It matches the Rfam family "Bacterial small subunit ribosomal RNA", at positions 30 to 507 of the family's 1533-position model. The record is from RNAcentral.
AUUGAACGCUGGCGGCAGGCCUAACACAUGCAAGUCGAACGGUAACAGGAAGAAGCUUGCUUCUUUGCUGACGAGUGGCGGACGGGUGAGUAAUGUCUGGGAAACUGCCUGAUGGAGGGGGAUAACUACUGGAAACGGUAGCUAAUACCGCAUAACGUCGCAAGACCAAAGAGGGGGACCUUCGGGCCUCUUGCCAUCGGAUGUGCCCAGAUGGGAUUAGCUAGUAGGUGGGGUAACGGCUCACCUAGGCGACGAUCCCUAGCUGGUCUGAGAGGAUGACCAGCCACACUGGAACUGAGACACGGUCCAGACUCCUACGGGAGGCAGCAGUGGGGAAUAUUGCACAAUGGGCGCAAGCCUGAUGCAGCCAUGCCGCGUGUAUGAAGAAGGCCUUCGGGUUGUAAAGUACUUUCAGCGGGGAGGAAGGGAGUAAAGUUAAUACCUUUGCUCAUUGACGUUACCCGCAGAAGAAGCACCGGCUAACUCCGUC